GGAGUACAGGUGGUGGCAUGGUUGUCGUCAGCUCGUGCCGUGAGGUGUUGGGUUAAGUCCCGCAACGAGCGCAACCCUCAUUGUUAGUUACUACCAUUCAGUUGAGGACUCUAAUGAGACUGCCAACGACAAGUUGGAGGAAGGUGGGGAUGACGUCAAAUCAUCAUGCCCUUUAUGACCUGGGCUACAAACGUACUACAAUGGCCAAUACAAAGAGAUGCGAAGCGGUGACGUGGAGCGAACCUCAGAAAGUUGGUCUCAGUUCAGAUUGAAGUCUGCAACUCGACUUCAUGAAGGCGGAAUCGCUAGUAAUCGCGGGUCAGCAGACCGCGGUGAAUACGUUCCCGGGUUU
RNAcentral lists this ribosomal RNA (352 nucleotides) under uncultured Mollicutes bacterium. RNAcentral's name for it is "bacterial SSU rRNA". It matches the Rfam family "Bacterial small subunit ribosomal RNA", at positions 1029 to 1381 of the family's 1533-position model. The record is from RNAcentral. Lineage: Bacteria; Bacillati; Mycoplasmatota; Mollicutes.